RNAcentral lists this non-coding RNA (560 nucleotides) under Cephalotus follicularis. RNAcentral's name for it is "Eukaryotic small subunit ribosomal RNA". It matches the Rfam family "Eukaryotic small subunit ribosomal RNA", at positions 1 to 531 of the family's 1831-position model. The record is from Rfam by way of RNAcentral. Lineage: Eukaryota; Viridiplantae; Streptophyta; Magnoliopsida; Oxalidales; Cephalotaceae.
CUUGUUGAUAAUGUCAGUAGUCAUAUUCUUGUCUCAAAUAUUAAGCCAUGCAUGUGUAAGUAUGAACUAAUUCAGACUAUGAAAUUGCAAAUGGCUCAUUAAAUCAGUUAUAGUUUGUUAAUGGUAACUGCUACUCGGAUAACUGUAGUAAUUCUAGAGCUAAUACGUGCAACAAACCCCGACUUCUGGAAGGGAUGCAUUUAUUAGAUAAAAGGUCGACGCGAGCUCUGCCUGUUGCUUCGGUGAUUCAUGAUAACUCGACGAAUCGUAUGACCAUCGUGCCGGCAACGCAUCAUUUAAAUUUCUAUCCUAUCAACUUUUGAUGGUAGGAUAGUGGCCUACCAUGGUGGUGACAUGUGACGGAGAAUUAGAGUUCGAUUAUGGGGAGGGAGCCUGAGAAAUUGCUACCACAUCUAAGGAAGGCAGCAGGCACACAAACUACCCAAUCCUGCACAAGGAGGUAGUGACAAUAAAUAACAAUACUAAGCUCUACACGGACCUUUAAAUAUAGGGAUUGGAACCUCAAGCAGAGAUGGAUAGAGAUGAUUAAGGACUAUGAU